GAAUUCCACGUGUAGCGGUGAAAUGCGUAGAGAUGUGGAGGAACACCAGUGGCGAAGGCGACUCUCUGGUCUGUAACUGACGCUGAGGAGCGAAAGCGUGGGGAGCGAACAGGAUUAGAUACCCUGGUAGUCCACGCCGUAAACGAUGAGUGCUAAGUGUUAGGGGGUUUCCGCCCCUUAGUGCUGCAGCUAACGCAUUAAGCACUCCGCCUGGGGAGUACGGUCGCAAGACUGAAACUCAAAGGAAUUGACGGGGGCCCGCACAAGCGGUGGAGCAUGUGGUUUAAUUCGAAGCAACGCGAAGAACCUUACCAGGUCUUGACAUCCUCUGACAAUCCUAGAGAUAGGACGUCCCCUUCGGGGGCAGAGUGACAGGUGGUGCAUGGUUGUCGUCAGCUCGUGUCGUGAGAUGUUGGGUUAAGUCCCGCAACGAGCGCAACCCUUGAUCUUAGUUGCCAGCAUUCAGUUGGGCACUCUAAGGUGACUGCCGGUGACAAACCGGAGGAAGGUGGGGAUGACGUCAAAUCAUCAUGCCCCUUAUGACCUGGGCUACAC
RNAcentral lists this ribosomal RNA (555 nucleotides) under Bacillus sp. EMI_1_11. RNAcentral describes it as "bacterial SSU rRNA". It matches the Rfam family "Bacterial small subunit ribosomal RNA", at positions 664 to 1219 of the family's 1533-position model. The record is from RNAcentral. Lineage: Bacteria; Bacillati; Bacillota; Bacilli; Caryophanales; Bacillaceae.